This 468-nucleotide ribosomal RNA is filed under the name uncultured bacterium. Its description in RNAcentral is "partial 16S ribosomal RNA". It matches the Rfam family "Bacterial small subunit ribosomal RNA", at positions 28 to 507 of the family's 1533-position model. The record is from RNAcentral.
GACGAACGCUGGCGGCGUGCUUAACACAUGCAAGUCGAACGGAAAGGCCCUGCUUUUGUGGGGUGCUCGAGUGGCGAACGGGUGAGUAACACGUGAGUAACCUGCCCUUGACUUUGGGAUAACUUCAGGAAACUGGGGCUAAUACCGGAUAGGAGCUCCUGCUGCAUGGUGGGGGUUGGAAAGUUUCGGCGGUUGGGGAUGGACUAGCGGCUUAUCAGCUUGUUGGUGGGGUAGUGGCUUACCAAGGCUUUGACGGGUAGCAGGCCUGAGAGGGUGACCGGCCACAUUGGGACUGAGAUACGGCCCAGACUCCUACGGGAGGCAGCAGUGGGGAAUAUUGCACAAUGGGCGGAAGCCUGAUGCAGCAACGCCGCGUGCGGGAUGACGGCCUUCGGGUUGUAAACCGCUUUCGCCGGUGACGAAGCGUGAGUGACGGUAAUUGGUAAAGAAGCACCGGCUAACUACGUG